This 480-nucleotide ribosomal RNA is filed under the name uncultured bacterium. Its description in RNAcentral is "partial 16S ribosomal RNA". It matches the Rfam family "Bacterial small subunit ribosomal RNA", at positions 28 to 523 of the family's 1533-position model. The record is from RNAcentral.
GACGAACGCUGGCGGCGUGCCUAACACAUGCAAGUCGAGCGAGUGAAUCUCCUUCGGGAGUGAAACUAGCGGCGGACGGGUGAGUAACACGUGGGCAACCUGCCUCAUAGAGGGGAAUAGCCUUUCGAAAGGAAGAUUAAUACCGCAUAAGAUUGUAGCUUCGCAUGAAGUAGCAAUUAAAGGAGUAAUCCGCUAUGAGAUGGGCCCGCGGCGCAUUAGCUAGUUGGUGAGGUAACGGCUCACCAAGGCGACGAUGCGUAGCCGACCUGAGAGGGUGAUCGGCCACAUUGGGACUGAGACACGGCCCAGACUCCUACGGGAGGCAGCAGUGGGGAAUAUUGCACAAUGGGGGAAACCCUGAUGCAGCAACGCCGCGUGAGUGAUGACGGCCUUCGGGUUGUAAAGCUCUGUCUUCAGGGAUGAUAAUGACGGUACCUGAGGAGGAAGCCACGGCUAACUACGUGCCAGCCGCCGCCGCAG